GAUGAACGCUGGCGGCGUGCCUAAUACAUGCAAGUCGAGCGAACAGACGAGGAGCUUGCUCCUCUGACGUUAGCGGCGGACGGGUGAGUAACACGUGGAUAACCUACCUAUAAGACUGGGAUAACUUCGGGAAACCGGAGUUAAUACCGGAUAAUAUAUUGAACCGCAUGGUUCAAUAGUGAAAGACGGUUUUGCUGUCACUUAUAGAUGGAUCCGCGCCGCAUUAGCUAGUUGGUAAGGUAACGGCUUACCAAGGCAACGAUGCGUAGCCGACCUGAGAGGGUGAUCGGCCACACUGGAACUGAGACACGGUCCAGACUCCUACGGGAGGCAGCAGUAGGGAAUCUUCCGCAAUGGGCGAAAGCCUGACGGAGCAACGCCGCGUGAGUGAUGAAGGUCUUCGGAUCGUAAAACUCUGUUAUUAGGGAAGAACAAAUGUGUAAGUAGCUAUGCACGUCUUGACGGUACCUAAUCAGAAAGCCACGGCUAACUACGUG
This 497-nucleotide ribosomal RNA is filed under the name uncultured bacterium. RNAcentral's name for it is "partial 16S ribosomal RNA". It matches the Rfam family "Bacterial small subunit ribosomal RNA", at positions 28 to 507 of the family's 1533-position model. The record is from RNAcentral.